RNAcentral lists this ribosomal RNA (426 nucleotides) under uncultured bacterium. RNAcentral describes it as "partial 16S ribosomal RNA". It matches the Rfam family "Bacterial small subunit ribosomal RNA", at positions 354 to 796 of the family's 1533-position model. The record is from RNAcentral.
GUGAGGAAUUUUCCGCAAUGGGCGAAAGCCUGACGGAGCAAUGCCGCGUGAAGGAUGAAGGCCUAUGGGUUGUAAACUUCUUUUCUUAGUGAAGAAUAUUGACGGUAUCUGAGGAAUAAGCAUCGGCUAACUCUGUGCCAGCAGCCGCGGUAAGACAGAGGAUGCAAGCGUUAUCCGGAAUGAUUGGGCGUAAAGCGUCUGUAGGUGGCUUCAAAAGUCUCCUGUCAAAGAUCAGGGCUUAACCCUGGGCCGGCAGGAGAAACUCUGAGGCUAGAGUUUGGUAGGGGCAGAGGGAAUUCCCGGUGGAGCGGUGAAAUGCGUAGAGAUCGGGAGGAACACCAAAGGCGAAAGCACUCUGCUGGGCCACAACUGACACUGAGAGACGAAAGCGAGGGGAGCAAAAGGGAUUAGAAACCCUGGUAGUCC